This 141-nucleotide ribosomal RNA is filed under the name uncultured eukaryote. RNAcentral's name for it is "partial 18S ribosomal RNA". It matches the Rfam family "Eukaryotic small subunit ribosomal RNA", at positions 1299 to 1458 of the family's 1831-position model. The record is from RNAcentral.
UGGUGGAGUGAUUUGUCUGGUUAAUUCCGUUAACGAACGAGACCUCAGCUUGUUGGUUGUUCCGAGCUUUUCUUUUGAAAAGUUUGGGAGGAUUGAGAAGGACUGUCGGUGUUUAGCCGAUGGAAGUUUGAGGCAAUAACA